RNAcentral lists this ribosomal RNA (384 nucleotides) under uncultured bacterium. Its description in RNAcentral is "bacterial SSU rRNA". It matches the Rfam family "Bacterial small subunit ribosomal RNA", at positions 524 to 906 of the family's 1533-position model. The record is from RNAcentral.
UACGGGGGGUGCAAGCGUUGUUCGAAAUCAUUGGGCGUAAAGAGCGUGUAGGCGGCUUGACAAGUCAGAUGUGAAAGCCCUGGGCUUAACCCAGGAAGUGCAUUUGAAACUGUCUGGCUAGAGUAAGGAAGAGGAAAGCGGAAUUCCUGGUGUAGAGGUGAAAUUCGUAGAUAUCAGGAGGAACACCGGUGGCGAAGGCGGCUUUCUGGUCCUAUACUGACGCUGAGACGCGAGAGCGUGGGUAGCAAACAGGAUUAGAUACCCUGGUAGUCCACGCCGUAAACGAUGUUCACUAGGUGUUGGGGGUAUUGACCCCCUCAGUGCCGCAGCUAACGCAUUAAGUGAACCGCCUGGGGAGUACGGUCGCAAGACUAAAACUCAAAG